This 499-nucleotide ribosomal RNA is filed under the name uncultured bacterium. RNAcentral describes it as "partial 16S ribosomal RNA". It matches the Rfam family "Bacterial small subunit ribosomal RNA", at positions 28 to 507 of the family's 1533-position model. The record is from RNAcentral.
GAUGAACGCUGGCGGCGUGCCUAAUACAUGCAAGUCGAGCGAACAGACGAGAGUGCUUGCACUCUCUGACGUUAGCGGCGGACGGGUGAGUAACACGUGGGUAACCUACCUAUAAGACUGGGAUAACUUCGGGAGACCGGAGCUAAUACCGGAUAAUAUUUAGCUUCGCAUGAAGCAAUAGUGAAAGACGGUUCUGCUGUCACUUAUAGAUGGACCCGCGGUGUAUUAGCUUGUUGGUGAGGUAACGGCUCACCAAGGCAACGAUACAUAGCCGACCGGAGAGGGUGAUCGGCCACACGGGGACUGAGACACGGCCCAGACUCCUACGGGAGGCAGCAGUAGGGAAUCUUCCGCAAUGGACGAAAGUCUGACGGAGCAAUGCCGCGUGAGUGAAGAAGGUUUUCGGAUCGUAAAACUCUGUUGUAAGGGAAGAACAAGUACGUUAGUAACUGAACGUACCUUGACGGUACCUUACCAGAAAGCCACGGCUAACUACGUG